RNAcentral lists this long non-coding RNA (25723 nucleotides) under Homo sapiens (human). Its description in RNAcentral is "non-protein coding VIM-AS1:10". The record is from RNAcentral. Lineage: Eukaryota; Metazoa; Chordata; Mammalia; Primates; Hominidae.
GUAGGUGCGGGUGGACGUAGUCACGUAGCUCCGGCUGGAGCUCGGCCGGCUCGCGGUGCCCGGGCCGCCGAACAUCCUGCGGUAGGAGGACGAGGACACGGACCUGGUGGACAUGGCUGCGGAGGGUGGCGAUGGCCUGGGCGGCGGCGGUGGCGCGGACUGGCUCCCGGAGAAGAGGCGAACGAGGGCGCGGUGGGUGUGGGUGGUGGGAGCGCGGCUGCGUCUCUGGCGCGGGGACCUCGGAGCGAGAGUGGCAGAGGACUGGACCCCGCCGAGGGCGCUGUUUUUAUAACCCCGUUAGGAAAGAGGGUCCCCUCCCACUGCCAUCCCAGCCGCGGAGCGCGCCAGCCAAUAGGGACCUAGCGAGAAGCGGGGAGGGUGGGCGGGUGGGGUGGGGGCGCCCUCGAGCCUUCCUGCUCCGGGGCCUGGGACUGGGCAUGGUCCCGUUACUUCAGCGCUGGGCUGGGACUUUUGGGGGCUUUCCGGAUGAUAGUCUGAGCUGGGCUCACCCUGGGGUGCUGAAAAAGGCGGGGUCGCGCGGUGAGGGGGGGGUCCGCCUGGGACUGAACCAGAGGGGUCCGGUGGCACCACGCCAAAGGGGCGUGGGAGGAGGUGCGCGGCGGUCUCGGGGCUGCGGUCAGGCGGGGAGACCCGCGGGCAAAGGAGCGGGAAGAGGAAAGAGUAAGGAAUCCCUCAGAUCUGAAGUCGCGGAGAAAGAAACAAAGAGCGCCUGAGAUUGGAACGCGGGGUGGGGGCGCGCACAGCGCAGGAACGCAGGGCUCAGGCCUCGCCGCAGCCUCGCGCGCCGCCCGCUUGGAAAGGGGGGCUGCUCCGGCCCGCGCCUCUGUCCAUCGACUUGCCUUGGCGGAGAGAUGUUGGGGGGAGGGGAGGUUCUGUCGAGGGACCUAACGGGCUCAGUCCAGCUUCGGACGGCGGGAGUUGCGAGACGGCGGUGGCAGAGGAAAGCCCGAGGGAGAGGGGUGGGGUCGCUUAGUCACCGGCGGUGACUCACCGCGCCCUGCUGUCCCGCCGAUUGAGGGCUCCUAGCGGUUUAGGGGAAACCGUUAGACCAGAUUGAUUCAAGUCUCAGCGGGCUCCGCGCGCGCUGCUAGUUCUCAGUGCUACCAACUUACAGCUGGGCCAUCGCCUUGCUGUGUGCGGUCGGGCCCUGUGGGGGACAAGAGCGCCCCUAAGUUUUUAAUAACUCGCUAAAGCCUGUCUUUGCUCGAAUGUGCGGACUUUUUGUUAGCAAGAAACUUCUGCAGCCUUUGGAGAGGCGCCAUACGUGGGCCUCCCAGAUCACGAUUGCACCGGGAAGGUUUUUCUUGCAGAGUCCCCGCCCCCGUCCCUCUGGUCUCCUCUCGCUCUUCCCCCUCCCCCCAUGAAACCACACCCAACUUUUUAAACAAGAUCUGAAAAUUCUGGGUGAAAGAGGAAACUCGACGUCCGUAGUUUCAAAAUAGAACUCAGUGAUCAGUGGUUUUUACCCUGGUGGAAGUCAUUAAAGGUAUAAUAUGAGCCAGUUAAAGAAUUAAUUAGGUGUUGCUUAAAAACCCCAAUUUGAUUAAUGAGUUCAAAUGAAAGGCAAUUAUGUAACACAAAUGACAGAAUCUUUGGCGGCAAUAGAUUUAUGUGUUAAUUUUAGGACAGCAAUGCACAGUACAGGGUUCACGGUGAUUUGUCUGGGAAAUGCCAUAGGUCCUGUUUUCCAAAAGAAUUCGUGCAAUUGACCUUGGGGUGAGGGGGAUAAAACUGUCUACGCAGCAAAAAACUUCGUGUCCAAGACAUGGAGGGAGUGUUCAGAUUCGGUCACCUUAACCUUUCUAGGGAAAUCACUCAAUUCAAGGGCUGUUGUUUCAAUAUUAGUAACGAGCAGAGCUGAGUACUUACCCGCCAAGGGAGAUAAAAGGAGACUAUGUAAAUCAGUCUUCUCGUGAUUUAGUAGCAAUUGAAAAGGCACAGGUUUUUUUGAGUAUUUAGAUUUAUGGUGUACUGAAAGGAUUAACUGCAGAACCACUGUAAAAUUGAUUCUGCAGUGGAUAGGAGAAAAAAAAGUAUUUCUCUCUUUUUUUUUGGUGGCGGCAGGGGGUACUGCAGGUUACUUGGUAUUUAAGAAACAUAAUUUAGAGGUAAAUGAAGAGCGUAUUCUGACUUCUUUGGACAAGCCUCUUUUAGGCAAUAUUUUGUUUACCUUAUCCCAGUUCGUUCUUGCAAAUGGUGCUUGCCAAGGUGGAAUUACAGGACUCUCUACUGCCCAGCUCGCCUGCUGGGGCUUUCUUUUAUUCUCUCUUUCACUGGGAGGCUGCAGGUCAUUCCCCAAGAGCAUUCCUGGGGCUGGGUGCCCUGGAGGACAAGCCUAUGCUCUGAGUUACAUCUUGCUUUCUGAGAGCCCUUUAUUCAAGCCACUGCUCAGCAAAUGCCACCAUUGUGAGUGUGCCUGGAACCCUUAGAAUGAGAAAAGUGAUCUCCCUAUGGGAGGAAGAGAGUGUGGAACUCACUUCUACGUGCAGUGCCGAUCCCAGGGCAAUGCGACGCUUGCUGACUGACUCACUAUGGAAAAGGAGGACAAGGCAUUGGCGAGGUGUGGCACUGUGCCCUGCUGGUGCCCAUAGCCGAUUCCUCAGGGCUGCGGUGAUGUCUCCUGGAAUGGGCACUGGUCCUCUUCAUCAUCUCAGGGAUAGGUAGCUCCUCCUUCCAACCUGUCCCCAUUCUGAAGUCUCUGGGCUGUGAUAGGCUGCUCUCUUGUCACAGACAUAUGUUUGUUUGAUGCAUAUAGAAUGUAUAAAAGUGUAGGUGUUCUGUAGUCCCAGCACUUUGGGAGGCCAAAGCAGGAGGAUUGCUUGAGAUCAGGAGUUUGAGACCAGCUUAGGCAACAUAUAUAUAUGAAACCAAAAAAAGCCAGGCGUGAUGGUGCACACCUGUGGUCCCAGCUACUUGGGAGACUAAGGCAGGGGGAUUGCUUGAGCCUGGGAAAUUGAGGCUGCAGUAGGCUGUGCACACCACUGCACUCCACCCUGUGCAACAGAGUGAGAACCUGUCUCAAAAUAAAGUAUAUGUAUGUACUACACACACAUAUACAUACGCACAUAUACAGCGUUCAAUGUGUUUUUCCUAUUAGAAAAUGCCAUUGUUUUUGGUGGGCUGCAAGAGAAGUGAAAGUUGCAGAAACACUUUCAUUCAUUCAUGUAGAAUUCAUGAGACUUAAGAAUUCAUUUCAUUCUGAGAUAAGAUAUACAGUGCCUCAAUCAAUGGGUGAUAGUUUUCAGUCAGGGAGAUCAAUGAAUCUGAACUCACAUCCUUGAGUGAGACAACUCAGCCUGCUCUCUAUGCUACUGUGUUCUUAGGUAUCUUUUGGGUACACAGACAUAGCUUUCCCGGGUUUUGUGUUUAUUUUUUAAUUGCUAUGAAAACCUAUCUGAGAAGUAUUUUCAAGUGCUGGACUGGGAAGCUGCUUUCAACACAGCAUGAUGCAAGUUGCAUAUAAAUAAAGACGUGGUGGUAUAAUUCAUAGGCCAGGCAUAAACACUACCACAUCUAAAUUACCAACAGUGAUUUUGGAAUUUGCAAGCUGUCAUGAUGUCAGUUGAAUUGGGUGACUUAAACUGACGGACCAGCCAGCCGUGUGGACAGAAGCUUAGUGGCCUAUGGAGGCUUUGGGAAAGCUGGCUAGCCAUGCCAAGAGAACAGCAUCUAGCAGGACUGUUUGGAUGGAAUGUUAGAAAGAAGAAGGAGGGUACACUGAGAGCAUGAAAACCAUAGCAAAACCUAAAAUCCAUGGAAAUACAGGUAAUAAUAAUAAAUAGUAUAAUAGGUAAUGUCGAUGCCAACUGAAUGACAGACACUGUGUAUAUAUUUAAUUUAACUUGAUGCACUCACACCCUCCUGCAAGAUAGACUUGAUCAUCCAUUUCACUAAUGAGGAGCCUAAGAUGCAGGCUAGCAAUUUUCUUGUGGUUGUAUGACUAGCAGGGGUGGGAAGAAGGGGACAAGAAUUUGAAUCGAGGCCUUUCUGACUCUAAAUGCACUUCUCUUUUCUGUUUGCCUUGAUAACAAAAUUUUGCUUACUAUCAACCAGUUCAAUUCACAAAUAUUAAGUGCUGGACUUAUCAUUUAGGGACCUACUGUGUUCCAGGAACUGAAGAGAUGGGAUGAUUAACACAGAUCUUGCUGCGAAGGGGCAUAUUUUUAGAGGAAUUUGGCAGACAGCUAUAACACCAUGUUUACGAUGUAAAAUGAUGUAAAAAACAAAAUCAAAUGACGUAACAGUGAUCAUACUAUGUAAGAAGGGAGAUUUGUUUUCACCUGCAUUCUAAAACAUUACUUUCAUUAGUGAGUUAAAAAUUUUCAUUUAGAUUCCAUUUUGCCUCUUAGGAGGAAUCACAUUCAAGACUGGGUUUAGCUCGUCUCACGCCCUAAAGCCCAUGAACCACCAUCGCUUCCCCUGCCAGCUUCCCUGUCUAUUCAGGGCAAUACAGCAAAACAACAAGAUUGGAAACUUUCAUCAUUGCCACUUCCUAACUAACUCUUCCAUCUCAGAUCCAAUGGGUAUCAUGCCCCGCUCUUCCUGGAUCCACUCCUCUGUUACGUUGCUGUCACUCAGAUCCAAGCCAUUUCAUACCUCCUUCCUGCAAUACUGCAAUUGGCUUCCGUUCCUCCAUGCUUUCUUGCUUUCUUUCUUUUCUUUUUUUUUUUUUUUUUGAGACGGGGUCUCGCUCUGUCCCCCGGGGCUGCAGUGCAGUGGCGCGAUCUCGGCUCACUGCAAGCUCCGCUUCCCAGGUUCACGCCAUUCUCCUGCCUCAGCCUUCCCAGUAGCUGGGACCAAAGGCGCCCGCCACCAAGCCCGGCUAAGUUUUUGUAUUUUUUUAGUAGAGACGGGGUUUCACCGUGUUAGCCAGGAUGGUCUCAAUCUCCUGACCUCGUGAUCCACCCGCCUUGGCCUCCCGAAGUGCUGGGAUUACAGGUGUGAGCCGCUGCGCCCGGCCCCUCCAUGCUUUCUUUUCUGCCACCAAUGCAUCUAUCUUCAAGCCAUCACCCCUUUUUCUUUAAAACUUAUAUAUAUAUAUAUAGAGAGAGAGAGAGAGAGAGAGAGAGACAAAGGCUUGCUCUGUUGCCUAGGCUGGAGUGCGGUGGCGCAGUCAUAGCUCACUGCAGCCUCUUAACUCUUGAGCUCAAGUAUUCCUACUGCCUCAGCCUCCCUAGAAGCUGGGAGUGCCAUCCAUGCCCAGCUAACUUUUUAUUUUUUGUAGAGCCAGGGUCUUGCUAUGUUGCCCAAGCUGGUCUUGAACUCCUGGGCUCAAGCAAUCCUCCAGCACUGGCCUCCCAAAAUGUUGGGAUUAAAUGUGUGAGCCUCCACAUUUGGCCAAAAACUUCCUUCUUUAAACUUCUUGGCAGGAAUUGCUCAUUUCCUCACUGGAAUGUAAUCUCCCUAAGGGCAGGUAGGAAUUUUUCUCUCUUUUGUUGACUAUUGUAUUUCCAGUGGCUAGAGAAAAGCCAGGCACAUCUGUCGAAUAUAUACAUUAAUACAUGAGUAGUUCAUAGAAGGAAGAAAUAUAGGUGUGGGGCUAAUAUUUACUGGUGCUUAUUAUGUUUAAGCAUUGUGCUAGUCACUUUAGACAUGACUGCAUUUAAUCUUCACAAGGUAUCGUGAUACACAACUUUUAUUCUUUUACUCCAAACAUACUUAUUGAGUAUUUGCCAUGUGCCGGGCAGUCUGGUAGACACUGGGGAAGGGACCAAAGCAGGUAUGGCCCAAAGCCUCUUGGAACAUAGUGUUGAGUCUGCGUAUAUGUAUAUGAUACAGAGAGACAAUACUCGUAAAGGAACAAACAAAAUGAUUGCAACUGGUGAUAAAGACUAUGAGGGAAACAGAAAUUUUCCUGCAGAGGAGGUUGAGGAUCAUAGUUAACUAGUGGCCUUUGGAAGUUAUGUCAAGUAUAUAUAUCUAUCCUCAUUUUCCACUGUUCCCCACAAGCAGCAAUUUCAGUAGAACCCUAAGCUCCUUCUUCUUCCAUGAAUAUAGUACAUUUCCCCCACCCUCAGGUCUUUCCUCAUAUUCCAUUUAACAGAUAGAUGUAUUCAUAUUUUUUUGCACUGCCUGCAAUGUUUCUUAGUAUAUUUCAGUAAGUAAGGUGCUUUUUGUGCCUCUAGGGAUCUCAUAGCUUUGUAUAAGGAUUAGAAAGCAGGUAAAGAGUUGGAAUACAUAGCAGAAUGUGGUAAGUGAGUGCUGUAGCACAGAUAGGAUAAAAUGCUAAAGAGCAUAGGUGGAGAAAUAAUCAUUGCAGCGCUAUUCACAAUAACAAAGACAUGGAAUCAACUCAGGUGCCCAUUAACAGUGGAUUGGAUAAAGAAAACAUGGUACAUAUACACUGUAGAAUAUUACAUAAGCAUUAAAAAGAAUGAAAUCAUGUCCUUUGUAGCAACACGGAUACAAGUAGAAACCAUAAACCUAAGCAAAUUAAUGCAGAAACAGAAAACGAAAUACUGCAUGUUCUCACUUCUAAGUGGGAGCUAAACAUUGAGUAUACACAGACACAAAGAUGGAAACAGUAAACACUAGGGAUUCCCAAAGUGGGAAGGGAGGGAGGAGGCAAGGAUUGAAAGACCACCUAUCGAGUACUAUGGUCACUAUUUGGGCAACGAUAUCAUUAGAAGCCCAAACCUCAGUAUCACACAACAUACCUAUGUAACAAACUUGCACAUGUACCCCCUAAAUCUAAAUUAAAAAAAAAAACUAUAAUACUAUACCUAAAAAUAAGUUAAAUUUUGUUGAGAAAAAAAAUGAUCCUAUCUACUUGGGGGAGAACAGAAAAUGUCAUUAGAAAAGAUAGUAUUUGAAGAAUAAGUACAAUUUCUACAGCUUAUCAUGGCAAAGAAAGGUUGCUCUAGUGCUGACCAAACAGUAUAAGCAAAAACUGGGUGGGUGGCAGAGUGCUGAGGACAUUUAGGGAACAGGAAUAAUCCCAGGGUUGCUGGAUUAUGGAGUAUUUGUAGGGGAGAAAGGGAACUGAAAGUUAACGUGGGGCCAUGCGUUGGAUGAGUAAAUGCCAGGAAAAGGAGUUGAUAAUUAAUGUGGUGGGCAGAGGGAAUGCAUUGUGAAUUUCAACUAGGAGAAAGACAUGCUUGUAGCUGUAUUUUAGGGGUGGAGAAUGAGGCUGAUUUGAGGUCUGCUUGAGGUAGAUCAAGUGGAUGGUAAAGGGAGCCUGACGCGGAGAUGAUUUAAGGAAUUGUGAUGUUUAAGGGCUAGGGGAUAAGAAAAAUCGAGUGGGCUCUGAGCCUUGUGAACAGGAUAAUUAAAAGAAUAGAUGCGGCUGGGCGCAGUGGCUCACGCCUGUAAUCCCAGCACUUUGGGAGACCCAGGCGGGUGGAUCAUGAGUUCAAGAGAUGGAGACCAUCCUGGUUAACAUCGUGAAACCCUGUCUCUACUAAAAAUACAAAAAUUAGCUGGGCCUGGUGGUGCCCGCCUGUAGUCCCAGCUACUAGGGAGGUUGGAGCAGGAGAAUCACUUGAACCCAGGAGGCGGAGGUUGCAGUGAGCCGAGAUUGUGCCCCUGUACUCCAGCCUGGCGACAGAAUGAGGCUCCAUCUCAAAAAAAAAAAAAAAAAAAAAAAGAAGAAAAAAGAAAGAAUAGAUGCAUUCCAGACAGAAAUAAUUAGUUGGAAAGUUAAUUUGAGUUGAAAGACGGUUAAUUCAGGUCCCUUAACCUGGAAAUAUCUUCCCUUCUCUAGUCUAUAUAAAUUAUAGUCUCAUGAAGGUGAGCUAUAAUUGGAUAGUGUGGUUUUACAUUAUGCAGCAGUGGUCUCCAGCCUUUUUGGCACCAGGGACCGAUUCCAUGGAAGACAAUUUUUCCAUGGACCAGGCAGGGGGAUGGUUUCAGGAUGAUUCAAACAUUUCUAUUAUUAUUACAUUGUAAUAUAUAAUGAAAUAAUUAUACAACUCACCAUAAUGUAAAAUCAGUGGGAGCCCUGAGCUGGUUUUCCUGCAACUAUAUGGUCCCAUCUGGGGAUGAUGGGAGACAAUGACGGAUCAUCAGGCGUUAUGUUCUCGUAAAGAGCGCACAACCUGGAUCCCUGGUAUGCACAGUUCACAGUGGGGUUCACGCUCCUACAAGAAUCUAAUACCCACCGACCACUAUCAGACCAUAGCCCAGGGUCUACAGCAUUUCUAAGCACUUCUAAUCUCUUCCCUUAAAGGAAUAAAGUAGAUGGUCUUUUAUUGUCAUUUAGCUGCUUUGAGUGUGUUAGUCUUGUUCCCAUAGCUAGUAUAAAAUCAUGAACAUCACGAUUCUCUAAAACAGUGUUUAAAACAUCAGAAGGGAAAGAAAAACCUUAAAGACACUUUCUGGGAGGUAUCUUUGAACAUUUGAGGGGGAAAACAUAGCUAACAAUUCCCUGUAGACUAUAAGUGAUUUUUUAACUUCAUCAAUGUCUAAUUCACAGUCUAUGACAGAGGAAAGAGAAGGUGGUAAGUAUGUAGGGGGAACACAAGAGUUUAAUUAACAAAUGGAGGAGAAAUCUAGUGCAAAAAUAAGUUCCAGCUGAUGUUGGACAAAGAAUUAAAGCCAGAUUUUCAGUAUUAGUUCACUUGAUCAAAAAACAGUAACAACCAAAAACAAACAAAAAACCCAUCAAUCCAGUUAUAAAAACCUCAUGUCACUUGAAAGAGCCCUGAAUGACAUCAUCCCAGUUUAGUUACUGGCUGAGUUAGACUACCAUAAGAAAACUAGCAGGUAUUUGCCCAGUGGCCUAUAAUGUUGUUUUUCCUUUUUUUUUUUUUUUUUUUUUUUUUUUUGUAGACAGAAAAAGAUUAUGCCACAGCUAGAAAAUUUGCCAAGUGCAAUUGGCGUCUUGGGAAUUUACUCUGCCUACUUUGAGGAGGUCAUGUAGUUCCCCAGUGGUAGAAUUUUUUUUCUCAAGAUAUUUAGGUAAGGGACCUAAUAAUAAUUUUGUUUAAUAGCACAAUUUUCUUUUUUAACUUUUAUUUUAGGUUCAAGGGUACAUGUGCAGGUUUGUUAUGUAGGUAAAUUCGUGUCAUGUGGGUUUGUUGUAUGGCUGAUUUCAUCACUCAGGUAUUAAGCUUAGUAUCCAAUAGUUAUUUUUUCUUAUCUUCUCCCUCCUCCCACCCUCCACCCUCAAGUAGGCCCCAGUGUCUAUUGUUCCCCUCUUUGUGUCCAUGUGUUCUCAUCUUACCUCCCACUUAUAAGUGACAACAUGCAGUAUUUGCUUUUCUGUUCCUGCAUUAGUUUGCUAAGGAUGAUGGUCUCCAGCUGCAUCCAUGUUCCUGCAAAGGACAUGAUCUCUUUUUUUUUUUUUUUUUUUGAGACAGAGUCUCACUGUCUCCCAGGUUGGAGUACAGUGGCACGAUCUUGGCUGACUGCAACCUCUGCCUCCCAGGUUCAAGCAAUUCUCCUGCCUCAGCCUCCCAAGUAGCUGGGAUUAGAGGUGCAUGCCACCAUGCCUGGCUAAUUUUUGUGUUUUAGUAGAGACGGGGUUUCAUCAUAUUGGCCAGGCUGGUCUCGAACUCCUGACCUCAGGUGAUCUGCCCACCUUGGCCUCCCAAAGUGCUGGGAUUACAGGCGUGAGCCACCGUGCCUGGCUGAUGUUCUUUUUCAUGGUUGCAUUGUAUUCCAUGGUGUAUAUGUACCACAUUUUCCUUAGCCAGUCUCCUAUUGAUGUGCAUAUCAGUUUAUUAAUUUUCUUUUAAAGAACAGAUAAAUUUAUAAUGUAAAUUUUUAUUUGCCUUUAUGGUAACCUGCGACAUUGGAAGGGGAUUAUUGACCAUCUAUAUAGUCAUAAUCUCUUUCCUCUAAAUCUGCAAAAUAUAAUGGAACUCCAUCUUAUGUAUUUCAAAACUGAUUAAUGAAUUGACUGAUAUUUUCAAAAAUGGACAAUUGGGAGAUACUUUAACUCUGGCAUAUCACAUUCACUCAGCCAGUGAAAUGAUUUUCUUCAGUAUAUUAAAUAUUAUAUUUAAUUGUGAAUAUGUUUGAUAAACUCAGAGUUUAAAAUAAACCUCUCAAGCUUUGGUUUUUGUGUAUAGUGACAAAGAUCAGUGUGAUUUGCAGAGGUUGGAAAUGAAAAUCAAAGACAAAUUCUAGAAAAAAAAUAACACAAAGUAACCCUAAAUGAAGCCAUGUAGCAAAUGGAAGGAAAUAUAAAAUGACAUAAUGACAAUAUGCAAGGAUGAAAAGAUAAGAAAAUUCAUUAACAUUACAAUGAGAUAUAAGUAAAGAAAGACCAUUCAGAGUUAACUAGCAGAAUAAAGGAUUUGGCAGCCCUCUUUGUAAUUCUACCAUGACGAUUUCCAAACCACUGAAUAAGGUUUUGUAUUUCUAAUUAGCUAAGUACUAGAAAUAUGUUCUCUAAUGUGACUCAUAUGGAUAUGUGGCAUAUGGACAAAAAAAUUCUGUGGUACUCAAGCUUAAUAUAGAUUAAGUACAUGUUGUUUGAGACAUAAAUUAUGAGAAGUUUUUCCGAUACAAUAUUGUAAUUUACUUGAAUGGCAUCUCUAGAACUUCAGACAGGUGUGAUAGAAUACGCUGCAGAGAUAUUUAUGUGUUUGAUCAGGGUUUUUCUUUUUCUUUUUUUAAGACAGAGUCUCACUCUGUUGCCCAGGCUGGAGUGCAGUGGCACUAUCUCAGCUCCAACCUCUGCCUCCCAAGUUCAGGCGAUUCUCCUGCCUCAGCCUCCCAAAUAGCUGGGAUUACAAGUGCCCACCACUACGCCCGGCUAAUGUUGUAUUUUUAGUAGAGAUGAGGUUUCACCAUGUUGGCCAGGCUGGUCUCGAACUCCUAACCUCCAGUGAUCCACCCACCUCAGCCUCCCAAAGUUUUGUAAUUACGGGCGUGAGCCACCACACCAGGCCAGGGUUUUUCCUUUGCUAACUCUAGGCUAGCUUUCACAGUCCUUGACCAAUACUAGGUCCUUGAGCGAACCCCAAACAAUCAUCACCAGGCACACUUUGAUAUGAUUGCUAAAACUGGAGUCUGACCUGGAUAGAAAGGCUAAUGAUAACCGUAAUGAUUGCUUUCAUAUAUUGAGUGCCUAUGACAUAUGAAAGCAAUCAUUAUGUACUGCCCAUGGGUUAACUUAUUUAAUCCUCACGACAGCCCGGUUUGACAUAUGAAGAAACUGAGGCACAGAGAAGGUAAGUAGCUUACUCAAGUUUAUCUAGCCAAGAAGUGGCAGACCUGAACACAGGACUUCUGGCUCCAGUCCCCGAACUCUAAACCUCACCGUGCUGUAGUACUUUAUAUGCCAUAGUAAUUUUGUGCUACCAUUGGAGAUGUCCCCAAAUCUCUUUGGCAUUGUUAUCAUGAUGUUUGUCUCUUUGGUCUACUUUUUUCCUAUUCUGAUGCAGCAACAGGACCCAUUUUGAUUCAGAGAAUAUGGUGCCCUUAAUGAAUCAUCAAGAAGUCCAUAGACAGUUUUAGGGGUUUUCUGUGGAGAUCUCAUUUCUUAAUUCUGACUCAACCCACCAGAAUGAAUGGAUAAUUAUGGCAUUUGAAUCUUGCAUAUGAUUAAGUGAAUAAAAAUGCUUUGCCCCAUUUGCUAGUAGAAAAGAAAUAAAACCACAUUUUUGGAAUGCAAUACUUAUAUCAGUUAAAAACAACUUCUCCCUAUACUUACCAUCUAUUAGUUUGAUUUUUAGGGAGAUUUAUUAACAUUUUAGUCCUUCAUGGUAGUACUAUUGUGCAAUCCAAGAAUUAUGGGGGAGUUUUUGGAAAUGAGAGGAGGCUCAGGGAAUUAUAGGCAACCAAGAUUCUCAAGGCCAAACCCAACAGCGAUACUGAUAAUACAUGUGUGCUUACUAUCCAGUUUUUAAAUUUUCUCAUGCAAUACUAAUCUCAUUGCUUUUGUAUGUCAGAUUUUAAAAUAGAGCAUGCUUAAUAUACUUCAGAUGUCUGCAAGGGGAACAGCAGCAAAUACCACAGUCCCAUGGUAAAUAUAAGGGAAAAACAAAGGCAUAUAUGUGUUAACAAGUCUGAUGAAUGGCUCAUGCCUGUAAUCGCAGCACUUUGGGAGGCCGAGGUGAGAGGAUCAUGAGGUCAGGUGUUCGAGACCAGCCUGGCCAACAUGGUGAAACCCCGUCUCUACUAAAAAUACAAAAAUUAGCAGGGCGUGGUGGCAGGCACCUGUAAUCCCAGUUACUCGGGAGGCUGAGGCAGGAGAGUCACUUGAAACCAGAAGGUGGAGGUUGCAGUGAGCUGAGGUCACACCACUGCACUCCAGCCUGGGCAACAAGAGCAAAACUCCAUCUCAACAGCAACAACAACAUCAAUAACAGCAAAGCCUGAUGAAAUCCUAACUCAGCAGUGGCGCAAUUACUUCAUAGAUUGGAUUAUUUUGAAAAGAAGCAGCAAACCCCAUUUGGUGGAUGUAUUUUGAGUCUUUUUUUUUUUUCUGAGACAGGAGCUUGCAAUACCACCCAGGCUAGAAUACAGUGACUCCAUCACAGCUCACUGUAGCCUCGACCUCCUGGGCUCAGGCAAUCCUCUUACCUCAGCCUCUUGAGCAGCUGGGACUACAGGCACAUGCCACCAUGCCCAGAUAAUUUUCUUAAAAUAUAUUUUGUAGAGACAGGGUUUUGCCGUGUUGUCAGGCUAGUCGCAAGCUCCCGAGCUCAAGUGACCCCUCCUUGGCCUACCCAAAGUGCUGGGAUUACAGGCAUCAGCCACUGCGCCUGCGCGGCCUGCGUUUUGAAUCUUUAGGUGAGCAGGCUCCCUGCUAGGUGCUAAGGACGCAGAAAUGAAUACCACCCCUCCCUUCCUCUCAGAGGGCUCCCAAUCUGCUCCUCUUUUCUCUGUUAAAUAUUUUGCCUUUGAGUCUUGCAUAAUGAUGUGGCCACAUUGAGACCUAGUUGAACAGUUUCACAAUAACUCCCUUAAGUCAGAGGGCCUUGGUGAAAUAACAUUGACUUUUACUCUGAAAUCCAUGGAAAUACAAAAUUUACUGUUUUGUUCUCCUUGAUAAAAUAUAGCAUAAUAACUAGUUGCUGGGUUACUACCUAAAACACAGGCCCCAAACUACAGCCAGGAAGGGCAGUUAGCAAUUAAGUAAAGGAAAUGACUAUGACUAGUGGGUCUGAAACCCAACACACUGCCCAUAUCCUUCUUAGCAUAGGGAGGCAUUGAUGUUACUUAGGCAACUUUUAUCACUAAGGAAGUAGUUUUGGUGACUCAUGCUCAUAACAGAAUGACUUAUUUCAAGACCUGAGUGUUCAGUAACCUUACCAUUAUGCUUCUGUUUUCUUUUUUUUUGGACUCAGACAGCAAAGCUCCCUUUGGAUGACAUAGAUUUAUUACUUAGUAGUAUAUUAUGUAUUGGCUGUCCCACAUUUUGAAAUUUAAUGGACUCGUGGUGAUCAGAAUAAAAGAAGCCUUCGAUGUGAGGCCCAGGCAUUGAGUACCAUGUGUGCGAUUCACAAGCCUUGGCAUCUGAACAAUUUUUUGGAAGGAUCCAUCAGGACAACACGUCGGGGGUGUACUAGUGAAGUGAUUUUCCAAAUGUGCUACUCAGACCUGUAGCAUCAGCAUCACCGGAUAAUUUGUUAGAAAUUCCAACUGUUAGGCCCCACUUUAGACCAACUGAAUGUGAAACUCUGGGAGUACGUGGGGCCCAGCAAUUUGUGUUUUUACAAGACUUACCAGACCCUUGCCAAUCCCCAGGCCGCGAGGCCCUCUGAAGCCCUGAGCCUGGAGCGGUAGGAGACGGGGGAACUGAAACGCCGCGGAACCAGAGGCUGAGGGAGCGGCGCGAUGGAGGGAGGAGGAGCGACGGACCGGCAGGCCUAGCUCCGGGGCUGCGGCGGCUGAGGCGCGGGGAUGGAGCCCCUGCGGGUGCUGGAGCUAUACAGCGGCGUGGGCGGCAUGCACCACGCGCUGAGAGGUGAGAGUCCAUCUAGCACCCCUCUCUCUAUUCGCUCACGGGGGCUGGUUGGAGCACCCGCGCCGGGAAGGGGCGGAGCGGCGAGACGCAAGGGGCGGACACUGUGGGGCGGACACUGUGGGGCGGCCCUCGGUUGUCCUGGAAACAGCUCCUGCGCGCCGCCGUGUCCACCCCUCCAGACGCUGACUCCCUUCUCCUGGCGCCGAGUCUGGCUCGAGGGGCCGCACAUGGCGCCUCAAAGGGCCCAGUUGGGAGUCGGGAUUCGCAAGGCAGUAAAUCAACCUCAAAGGGUAUCAAAGGGGCGAGACCCUCGCCUGGUGCCAAGCCCCCAUUCUAAGUGUGCAGCCACCGAGAAGCAUGGAGACUCGGUCCUUCAUCCUGGGGGGCUUCCCAGCUGGGGAGGGAGGGAGUGUCAGGGGCUCCCCUGGUGAGAGAUGGAUCUUGGAAGGGAUAAUAGCUACAAUUCAAGGUAGAAGUUUGCGAAUGCUAAAUAGGAUGGUAGAGGAAGCUUGAAGAACUUGGACGUCUGAUCGUUGGAAAGAAACGUGUCUUCUGUAGUUCUGCGUUUAGAUGCCAGAGAACUGAGUUCCAGCUUGGUGGCAGUGUGACGUUGGGCUACUUCGUGAACAGUGAUGAACCUGUUUCCUGGUUUUAAAAGAGAAUGAUUAUUAUAAGGAUUAAAGUCUGUCAAGUGCUUGUUAGUGCCUGAUACAUUGUAACCACUCCAAAUAUUAUACAUUAUUAUCACUAUUACUUUAAAACGACAUCACGAGAUAUUAUCAAGCAAACUAUUACUUUUAUGCACGUCUUUGAUUUUGAGGUUUUUGAUUUCUUUCAUGCUGAGUUGGAACUGAAAGUUUUACUUUUGGUGAUAUUCACUCAAAAUUAUUUAUUGAGCUCCUAUUCUGUGCCAGAUUUUGUGCUAGGAGCUGGGGAUACAGAAUGACAAACAGGCUUUGAAGGUGCAUGUUUAUUCUUAAAUUACUAAGACAACCACCGAACUGAAACUUCCCUGCUUCCUUAUUUAGGACCAAGAGUAACAAGAGUAACUGUAAGAUACAGACAAUAUUUAAUGGGUUUAGCGUAUAAGUUUUUUGAGCAGAUUUAUUGAGUUUCAAUUCUAGACUAGGUUAAUGAUCAUUAAGUUUUUAGUACUUGUUUGCCGGCUAUCUUUAUUUCUCAUUUUAAAACUUAGCAGCAUCAAAGCAAAACUCUAGUACUAUUUACUCUUUGUUAAUUCUCUAAAGUGAUAUAAUGUCCGCGUUUUCCCAUAUCUUGAAACUCCUUAAUGAAUUGCUUAGUACUUUAUCAUAAGCUGUAAUUCAGCCAUUCCUUAAGUGUCGAAUAUUUAGAUCAUUCUUCAGUUUUUUUGCAAGUACAGUGUGCUACAGUUACAUUCUUGAGCAUAAUGCCGAUUUUCUCUUUAAGCAUGUUUACUAACUGUUGGAAUUAAUUCAACAGUAAGACUUAACUGUGUGCUAGUUACUAAGUGAAAAACAGAAUUUUUAAGGCUUUUGAGAGAGAGGAUAGCAAAUUGCUUUUCAGAGAUUUUUGAGUGCCUUAACUACAUAUUCAUCAGGGAUAUGUAUUAUCAAUUUUUAAUCCUUGCUAAUUUGUUAGGGGAAAUUGUGUAAUUUUAAGUGACAGUUUUGGGAUUAAUGAAAGAGUAAAAUAUUUUCUCUCCUAUUAGCCAAUGCAAUGUGAAUUUGUACACGUUUUUCUAUUGCCAGUUCUACUGUUGUGAAUCCAAGCUAUUAAGUUCUGUAAUUUAAAUUAUUAACAUAGCUUCCCAGCUUCUCUCCUUACUUCCAUUCUGCCUCCCUACUCCGUUUUCCUUCUAGCAGGCAGCAUGAUCAUUUGCACAGUAAACCAGAUCAUGUUACUUCGUUGCUUAAAUGGUUGCUUUUGAGAUUGUAAUCACAGUCCCAUCUUAACAGGCUUGUGAGUUCUGGCUUCUGUCUUCUCUUCAAUUUUAUCUGCCACUCUCCCUUCAGCAUCCCGCUUCACCGUCAACACCCAAAGCUGAAAUUCUAAUUAAACGAUUCCCUGAAUUCUUUCCUCAGCCUUUCUUGUCGAGGCUUACUGUUUUUCUUUCUCUCUACUCCUCAAACCCUCGAAGUUCUUCGAUGUUCUGGCCUUUGCUUUUGCUGUUGCCUCAUCCAGAGUGCUCCCUAACCCCAGACUUUUUCACUCUAGCUUCGGUUCACAUUUCAUGUCUUAGUUCAUAUAUUGGCCUUCCCUGGCUGACCCUGUGAUCCAAAGCAACUUUCCUGCCUCCCUGUACCUCUCUGCUCUCUCAUCUUUUCGGUGGAAAUCUGCAUAUUAGGGAUAUAGACUCUUAAUCAUAUUGAUGCAAAUAUUUUUCCACACUUGUUUGCCUUCCCAUGUUCACUUAUUUGAUGUACUAAAGUUUAAAAUUUACCUGUAAUAAAAUGCAUUGCUCCUUUCCAGGUGGUUUUUAAUAUAAUAAUAAAGACUAAUAACAGCAGCUAACUUUAGUGUUUAUUAGGGAUCUUUUAAAUUCAGGUCCUUUUUUAAGUAUGUAAUAAACUAGUUAGCGGUAGAACUGGUAUUUUAACCUAGGUCUACCUACCUGACCUUUUAACUAUGCUAUGUUGCCGUUGUUCUGGUUAGAACUACUAACUUCCUUGGAUCUAUACAUUAAAUAAUAUAAUAAGCAGCACAAAAGGAAUAAUAUUGAACUUCAUUUUUGACUGAUUUCUAGAUAAGGUUCAUAAUGGAAUUUUUUUAUUGUGGUAAAACACAACAUGAAAUGUAUCAUUUAAACUAUUUUUAAAUGUAUAGUUCAAUGGCAUUAAGUACAUUCACAAUGUUGUGCAACCAUCACCCUUGUUCAUUUCUAAAACUUUUUAAUCAUCUCAAACAGAGCUCUGUACCUGUUAAACAAUAACUCCAAAUUCCCUUUCCCCCCAGUCCCUGGUAACCUUGAUUCUGCUUUGUCUUUAUGAACUUGUCUACUCUGCGUACCACACAUAAGUAGAAUAAUACAUUUGUCCUUUUGUGUCUGGCUUAUUUCACUUAGAAUAAUGUCUUCAAAGUUCAUUUAUUUUGUAGCCUGUAUCAAUAUCUCAGUUCUUUUUGUGGUUGAAUAAUAUUCCAUUGUAUAGCUGUACAAUUUUGUGUAUCCAUUCAUCUGUUGAUAGACACUUGAGUUGUAUCAAUUACCUGCUGACCAUUGUGAGUAGUGCUGCUUUGGAUAUUGGUAUAUAAGUAUUGUUUGAGUCCUUACUUUUAAGUUUUGGGGUAUAGACCUAGCAGUGGAAUUGCUGGAUCAUAUGAUAAUACUGUGUAACUCUUGAGGAACCACCAGCCUGUUUUCCGCAGCAGCGGCACAAUUUUCCAUUGCAUGAGCACUCCGUUUCCUCUACCUCCAUAUUCUCCACUUGUUAUUCCAUUUUUUAAAAAUAAUAGCCAUUCUGAUGGAUAUGAAAUCAUAUCCUAUUGUGGUUUUGAUUUGCAUUUUCUUAAUAACUAAAGAUGUUGAGCAUCUUUUCUUUUUCUUUCUUUUUUUUUUUGAGAUGGAGUUUCGCUCUUCUUGCCCAGGCUGGAGUGCAGUGGCGCGAUCUCAGUUCACUGCAACCUCCGUCUCCCGGGUUCAAGCGAUCUUCCUGCCUCAGCCUCCCGAGCAGCUGGGAUUACAAGUCCCUGCCACCAUGCCUGGCUAAUUUUUUGUAUUUUUAGUAGAGAUGGGGUUUCACCAUGUUGGCCAGGCUGGUCUCGAACUCCUGACCUCAGGUGAUCCACCCACCUUGGCCUCCCAAAGUGUUGGGAUUACAGGUGUGAGCCACUGUGCCGGGUUGUUGAGGGUCUUUUCAUGUGCCUGUUAGUCAUUUGUUUUCUUCAAUACAGAGAAGUGUCUGUUCAAGGCCUUUGCCCAUUUUGGAAUUUUCUUUUUGUUAUUGAGUUGUAGGCUUUAUAUAUUCUGGAUCUUAAUGUCUUAUUGGAUAUAUGAUUUGCAAAUAUUUUUCCCCACAUUACUGAAUUUUCAGUUAUAAAAAGUAUAUUUAAUUUCUUUAGCAACAUGAUAGAUUUGCCUCAAACCCAGUGAACAUUUAAAAAAUAUGUCAAUAAAAGUUUUUCAUCCUUAUCAGCAUAUCCAGUAUGCUGUUGCAUUUUUACAGUCACUACAUAGAUGCUUCUGUAUUUUCUAAAUUUCAUUUAACUUUAUUUAUAUCUAUUUUCCCAUGUAUUUACAUGGCUUAAAUGUAACAUUCUUUGCUGUUCCUUUCUGUUCCUGUACAGCCUCUAGCACAGUACCACACUCUUUCUAGCUUACUAUUGAGGUUACUAUUGAAUUGAUAAUCCUUCUGCUAUCGUUUUAUCAAAUGAUGAAGGUUUAUUUAGCCCAGAUUCUUUUUUUGUAUUAUAUGUAGUUCUUAGUUGCAACCCACAGAAUCCACUCUAGCUAACAUAAUCAGGAAAAAAAAAAUUAAAAACAUUUGGAAACUCACAGAAUCUCCAGGACACCCAACAAACAGGUUAGGUGAACAGGAGCACUGCCCACACUAUAGUGUGGGUAUGGCCACAGUGAAGCUUUAUCCCGACAUCACAGCUUACACCAACAGUGCUGGGUUCUGGAAGCCAGAAGUGCUGUCGCAGUUUUCCCUUGAGAGGUGGAUGCCUCUUACCACCUCCCUUGCCAGAAAGAUGGGUUUCCUCGUUUGUUUAAGUUCUUCCAUUGCUACCUCUGAAUUGAAGUCUCUCCUCACACUGCUAACUCUAAACUGAGGUCUUAUCAUGUGGAUGCAGGUGGUUGGUAGACACUAGAUACCACGGCCAGACAAGGGAAGCUGAGAAGGUGAGUUCUGGCUUCUAUUUGGGGAAGGAAGGAUCCAUACUGUGGCAAAUUUUCAAACACAGGAAACAUAGGCAAAGAUUCUAGAUGGCCACAGUAUAACAAUGUCUAUUACAUUUUUAAAUACAUAUUUGACCUAUACAGAAACUACUUAUGUGUACUUUGAUAUUUAUGUCUGCACAGUCUACAAAGUUUUGGCUAAUGAGAAUCUUCCAAGUGAAAAUAUCUUCUUUCAGAAAGCAGUGGAAGAAGUAGUGUCACAGGUUAUAUAUCAGUGGAGCCUGCAAGGUCACCUGCAAAUAUAUGCAAAUAAGAUUCUGUAUUUUUCUCAUUUUAAAAUGUAGUAUCAGGAGAAGAGUAAAGUGUGGUUUAAGGUGGUGAAUAAAGGAAAGCUCUAGCUGGAUGACUGUUUUCUAUAUAGUCAAAUAUUGGAGUCAGCCUUAAAAGCAAAAAGGCCUGUCUGCCAAAUAGCUUCUAAAGCUCUUCCAAGGAGUUGGCUUUGAGUUUUACCCCAUAAUACUUCAUUGUGUUUAGUAAGAAUUACUCAGCCUUAAUAUUUUCUUUUAAAAUGCUAAGCAUCUCAUUUGUCACGUAUUAAUUAUUCAUUUUCUGAAUCUCUUUUGUCUUUGUUCCUCAACGACUUACAUGCCAACUUGGGAGUCUACUAGACCAGCUUGUAACUGGGUGUGUUUGUAACUGAAUCAGGCAACUACAUUACGAUGAAGUGUAUUUGUAUGUAGAUAUGAAUGUCACCUAAGGAUAUUUUUAUAGCAUCAGUUGUUAGGGGCUGGCCUAUGAACCGCUUAAUUUUUUUUUCAGUUAUACAUACCUGUCUUUGGGAUUAUAAAAUUUUCCUUUUCAUGCCUCUUUCCUUCUAGUUACUCUUAUAUAGCAAGUCAUAUUUAAAGUGAAGCAACGUAAAAAGUUGUCCUAUUAAAAUAAAUUUAUCAUUUCUUCUCUGGCAGCUGUGGAAGUUAAUAAACUUGAAAUACAAAAAAGAAAUACGUAAGAUGAAUUUUGAGUAUUCAGUAAAAGAGAACUUUAACUUCCCAUUAGACAAUUGAAUUACUUAUCUUUUCUUGUGAGGAAUAAUGUGUGCUUACUUCACUGCAAAGUAUUUUUUGGGGUUAGGGGUAAAUUUUUUUUUUUUCAGCUUCUAGAUUCAAGGGGUACAUGUGCAAGUUUGUUACUUAGGUAUAUUGUGUGAUGCUCAGAUGUGAGGUAUCAAUGAUCCCACCACCCAGGCACUGAGCAUAGUACCCACAGUUAGUUUUUUAACCUUUGCUGCCCCCCUUCUCUCUCUAGUAGUCCCCGGUGUCUAUUGUUGCCAUCUUUUUGUCCAUGAGUAUCCAAUGUUUAACUCCCACUUAUUAGUGAGAACAUGAGGUAUUUGGUUUUCUGUUUCUGUGUUAAUUCACUAAGGAUAAUGGCCUCCAGAUGCAUCCAUGUUGCUACAAAGGAUAUGAUUUUGUUCUUUUUUAUGGCUGCGUAGUAUUCCAAUGGUGUAUAUAUACCACAUUUUCUUAAUUCAGUCCGCCAUUGAUGGGCACGUCUUUGCUAUUGUGACUAGUGCUGUGAUGAACAUGCAAGUAUAUGUGUCUUUUUGGUAGAAUGAUUUUGCUUUCUUUUGCAUGUAUACUCAGUAAUGAGCUUGCGAGGUUGAAUGGUAGUUUUGUUUUAAGUUCUUUGAGAAAUUUCCAAGCUGCUUUCCACCAUGGCUGAAUUUAUUUACAUUCCCAUCAACAGUGCAUAAGGGUUCCCUUUUCUCCGCAGCCUUGCCAGCAUCUGCGUUUUUUUUUUUUUUUGACUUUUUUUUUUUUUUGAGUCGGAUUCUUGCUUUGUUGCACAGGCUGGAGUGCAGUGGUGCAAUCUUGGCUCACUGCAACCUCUGCCUCCCGGGUUCAAGCUAUUCUCCUGCCUGAGCCUCCCUAGUAGCUGUGAUUACAGGUGCCCACGACCACGCUUGGCUAAUUUUUGUAUUUUUAGUAGAGACAGGGUUUCACCAUGUUGACCAGGCUGGUCUGGAACUCCUGAUCCCAAGCAAUCCACCUGCCUCGUUCUCCCAAAGUGCUGGGAUUACAGGCAUGAGCCAUCACGCCUAGCUUUUUAUUGACUUUUUAAUCGUAGCCAUUGUGACUGGUUUGAGAUGCUGUCCUAUUGUGGUUUUGAUUUGCAUUUCUUGAAGAUUAGUGAUGAUGACUAUUUUUUUUCAUUUUGUUGAUGGGCCACUUCUUUUGAGAAGUAUCUGUUCAUGUCCUUUGCCUAGUUUUUAAGUGGGGUUGUUUGUUUUUUGCUUGUUCAGUUGUUUAAGUUUCUUUUAGAUUCUGGAUACUAGACCUUUCCCAGAUGCAUAGUUUGCAAAUAUUUUCUCCCAUUCUGUGAGUUGUCUGUUUACUCUGUUGAUAGUUUCUUUAGCUGUGCCGAAGGUCUGUAGUUUAAUUAGGUCCCACUUGUCAAUUUUUGUUUUUGUUGCAAUCGUUUAUGAAGACUUAGUCAUAAAUUCUUUUCCAAGGCCAAUGUCCAGAGUGGUGUUUCCUAGGUUUUCUUCUAGAAUUCUUAUUGUUUGAGGUCUUACGUUCAAGUCUUUAAUCCAUCUUGAGUUAAUUUUUGUAUAUGGUGAAAGGUAGGGGUCUAGUUUCAUUCUCCUGCAUAUGGCUAGCCAGCUAUCCUAGCACCGUUUAUUAAAUAGUGAGUCCUUUCCCCAUUUUUUUUGUCUACUUUGUUGAAGAUCAGAUGACUGUAGGUGUGUGCCUUUAUUUCUGGGUUAUCUAUUCUGUUUCGUUUGUCUGAUAUGUCUGUUUUGUACCAGUACCAUGCUGUCUUGGUUACCGUAGUCUUAUAGUAUAGUUUGAAGUCCAUUAAUGUGAUACCUCUGGCCUUGUUCUUUUUGCUUAGGAUUGCUUUGGCUAUUCAGGCUUUUAUAUGGUUCCAUAUGAGUUUUAGAAUAGUUUGUUCCAAUUUUAUGAAAAAAUGAUGCUAGUAGUUUGACAGGAAUAGCACUGAAUCUGUAGAUUGCUUCAGGCAGUACUACCAUUUUAACAACAUUGAUUUUUUGAAUCCAUAAGCAUGGGAUGUUUUUCCAUUUGUUUGUCACCUGUAUGAUGUCUCUUAGCAGUAUUUUGUCAUUCUCCUUGCAGAGAUCUUUCACCUCCUUGGUUAGAUGUAUUCCUAGGUAUUUUUAUAUGUUUUUUGUGGCUGUUAUAAAGAAGAUCACAUUCUUGAUUUGACUCUCAGUUUGAACAUUAUUUGUGUAUAGAAAUGCUUCUAAUUUUUGCACAUUAAUUUAGUAUCCUGAAGCUUUGAUGAAGUCAUUUAUUAGUUCCAGUAGACUUUUGGUGGAGACUUUAGAGUAUUCUAGGUAUAAAAUAAUAUCAUCUGCAAAGAGAGAUCGUUUGACGUCUUCUCACUCUGUCACCCAGGGUGGAGUGCAGUGGCUUAAUCUUGGCUCACUGCAACCUCUGCCUCCUGGGUUCCAGCGAUUCUCCUGCCUCAGCCUCCUGGGUAGCUGGGACUACAGGCAUGCGCCACCAUGCCUGGCUAAUUUUGUAUUUUUAGUAGAGACGGGGUUUCACCAUGUUGGCCAGGCUGGUCUCGAACUCCUGACCUCAGGUGAUCAGCCCACCCCAACCUCCCAAAGUGCUGGGAUUACAGGUGUGAGCCACUGUGCCUGGCUCCUUUAUUUCUUUCUGUUGAGGGAUUGCUCUGGCUAGUACUUCCAAUACUAUGUUGAAUAGAGUGGUGAGAAUGGGCAUCCUUGUCUUGUUUCAGUUCGCAAGGGGAAUGCUUCCAUCAUUUGCCCACUCAGUAUGAUGUUGGCUGUGGGCUUGUCAUAGAUGCUCUUAUUAUUUUGAGGUAUGUUCCUUUGAUGCCUACUUUCUUGAGGGGUUUUUAUCAUGAGGAAAUGUUGGAUUUUAUUGAAAGCUUUUUCCACAUCUUUUGAGAGGAUCAUAUGGAUUUUGUUUAUUCAGUGUACCUUGAUGUUCAAAUACGUUUAGAAACUCUCCACACAACAUCUUUCCUUGAGACCUUCUCAAGACACGUGAAAUGUAUCAGGUUUUGAGAAGUAAAGAAGCUGUUUGGCUUAAAACAGUGCUUCCCAUAUGUAUUUAUAUUUGGGCAAGGACCCUGCUGCUCCUGCCCCUCGCCCACCCUUUUGUUUUGCGGGGAAGGAGAGCACACCUACAUUGUGAAAACAGUGCUCCUUAGUGCGUGUUUCCGGAAAUGUCUGAUGGGCAACAAAAGGGCAGUGAUGGAGCUGAGGGAGAUGCUGGGGUUGUGAAAGAAAAGAUGCGCCAGGGCUAUACAUAUUAGCCAACUAUGUUCAUAAUUUGGACGAACUUUGAAAUAAGCUUCUCUGUAAUAUUUCUAUUAGGCAGGUAUUGUCAUUCUUACUAUCUCUGUUUUCUCCUAGAAUGCCCAAAGCUGAACUACUGGUCUCUGAUCCCUUCCAAAACUUGCCACUCUUGUAACCUGCCUCACCCCAAUAACAGGUGGCUUUGUUCUUCUAGUUGCCCACACCUGAGCCUUGGAGUCAUCUUGUUUCUUCUUUUUCACCCACAUCAGCCAGUUCUACAGGCUUUACCUUCAGACUAUAUUUAUAACUCUAUCAUUUCUCUCCAUUUUCACCUUUACCACCUGAUCUAUAAUCUCUCUCCUGUCUUGUCAGACUUAAUUUUUGCGCUGCCCGGAUUUGCUUGGCCCCACCUGCCUCCUGGCCUGGGGCUGCUGGUUCAGUGUCACACCCUGACUAAUGCCACCUUGCCUCAUCUGACACUGUCAGGGGGUGAUGGCCGAGCUUGACCCUCAGAAUGAUUGUCGACCCCUGUACCUGGACUCAGGUGAAGUGUCAGGCUGUGGGCAUGCACUCUGUCUGCUCAGUAGCUGUCUUGAGGAGUCAGAUCACAAAACCUGACUUGUGUGUGUAGGUAGCAGGGAGGUGGGGAGUCACGCUUUGGGGGGACUUUUGACCAAUAACAGACAGGAUGAGAAAGGAGCCAGAAGAUACACUCUCUCCCUCCUCCCGCAAUGGUGCUCCUUGCUCAAAUGCCAGUGAGAAGAUGGGAAGUGCUAUUUCAGACCCAGUAGCGUCUCUACUGCAGGGCAUCUCAUCAUCUCCCACAGCAGAUACAGCCCUCCCCUGACAGCUCUGAGGUGUGGUCAUCCCAUCCAGCCUGGCUCUACCAAAUCCCUCAUUGCCAGAGCAGUUGGCUGGGUUUCUGGGAAGCAUUGACCGACGUGCUAAUGCACUCCCUCCUUCUCUGCCUCACUGCCCUAACUCUUGCCGCUUCGGAGUUUUCCUUCCAGAUAAAGCAUCUGCAGCUAAGCUUGGCCUGAGCUACUUUUCUGGGACCCUGGACAAAGCAUUAUUGCAGUAGCCUCUUUACUGAUCUUGCUUCUGCUCUGGCAUUGCAAGUUUGUUUUCAGUAGAGUGGCCAGAGUGAUCUUUAAAAAAUAUAUCUGAUAAGUUAUUACUGUGAUUAAAACUCCUGAGGAGCUUCUCCGACCACUCAGAAACCAGAGUCCUGAAUGGGUCCCCAGGCCUGCUUGGGCUAGAGACACUUUCUCUCUGGGGCCACAUCUCCUGUGGCUGUCCCCUUGCUCACUCUACUCCAGGCUCCCUGGCCUCCUGGUUGUUCUUCCUACAAAACCAGCAUGUUCCCAUCUCUGGGCCUUUGCUGUGUCUCUUCUCUCUGUCCUAGAAAGUGCUUCUCCCUGAUAUCUGUCAGGCCCAUCCCCUCAUCUCUUCCAGGUUGCUGCUAAAGAGACAUUCUGUAACCGACCUACAUAAAACUAGAACCACUCCCUUCUCCCAUGCUGUCUUGCUCUGGUUUUUAGUUUUCUCCAUAGUACUUUUUAUUGUUAGGCAUAAUUUAAACUUGUUUGUUUAUUGUCUGUCUCUCUCCUCUAGAAUGUAGGCUCCAUGAUAGGAUAGGCUUUGUCUGGAAUAAUCCUUUUAUAUACUUGUUGAAUGCGUGAAUGAACAAAUGAAAAAAUGAACUAUAGGCAUGCUUGCUGUGAAAUAUCUGCAGCUUGAUGUAGAUAUCAUCCUUCUGUGAUAAGUUUAAACUUAAGUAUUAAGUCUGAAUCAUGAAGAGUUUUUGUAGGCAUGGUUGUGUGUGAGAUUUUAAUAGAUAACAAAUAUUUUUCUGUAAUACAUGAUAAAACAUUUUUGUUCUUUUUAUUUAAAACAUUUUAAAUAUUGUCAAAAUAAUCAGGGCUUUUGAGAAUAAAUUGGUCUUUACUCACUGUAAAAUUUAAAUCAUAUGCUAACAGUGAGCUAUGGCCAAAAUAAUUAAGUUUAAGUGGUUUUUUUUUUUUUUUGCUCUUUUAUUCCUGUCAAGAAAUAUGAACUCUUUAUUUUUCAAAGUUGAAAAGAAGUUGAUGUAUGAGAGCAAAUCUACACAUAAUUACACGGUGAUUAUUAUCAUAAUGAUAAAUAAGGUCAAGGUUACAUGUACAGUUUGGUGUCUGGAACCUUUUUAGAAUCUCUGUUGCCUUUUGCUUUCCCAUGGAACAUUAUCAGAAAUAUUGGUGAAAAGUGCUACCCAGGAAUAGUGCCAACCAGCUCUCCUCUUGUCUAAAAGCGUAAAAUUAUAUCUCAUUUUUAGCGACUAGGUAAAGUGUAUGUUGGAAUUUUAAAAAUUACCGUUACUUCGCCUGGACCAAUGGUUUCUUUUACUUAUAUCCACUAAUUAUUUUCAUUCUGAGACUUUAAAUCAACACAAACCUAGCCAAACCCCUUUGUGUAAAGUAAAACAGCUCUAUUAGAGAGCUGAACAUUAAUAUUAAAUAGUUCUUGUGCAUCCAUUACUGAUUUUUGUUCAAACUCAAUAAUGAAGUUAAUUACCCUCUAGUACUCAAUGAAUGAGACUCAAGAAACAAAUGCCAGAGUCUUUUAGCACAAACAGGACCCCAUAGACUUUGGCAGAUGCCUUCAUUAGAGUUGAAUUUUGGUUCAAAAAGAACCUAUAAUUCAAAGGAUUUGUAGUUUAAAAAUUCUAGUUAAAUUGAAAUCAUAUGUUAGC